This 471-nucleotide ribosomal RNA is filed under the name uncultured archaeon. Its description in RNAcentral is "bacterial SSU rRNA". It matches the Rfam family "Archaeal small subunit ribosomal RNA", at positions 343 to 818 of the family's 1478-position model. The record is from RNAcentral.
ACACUGUGCAAUGCGCGAAAGCGCGACACGGGGAGCUUGAGUGUCUUGGCAUAGCCAAGACUUUUCUCAUUCCUAAAAAGCAUGAGGAAUAAGUGCUGGGUAAGACGGGUGCCAGCCGCCGCGGUAACACCCGCAGCACGAGUAGUGGUCACUUUUAUUGAGCCUAAAGCGUUCGUAGCCGGUUUUGUAAAUCUUCAGAUAAAGCCUGAAGCUUAACUCCAGAAAGUCUGAAGAGACUGCAAGACUUGAGAUCGGGUGAGGUUAAACGUACUUUCAGGGUAGGGGUAAAAUCCUGUAAUCCCGGAAGGACGACCAGUGGCGAAAGCGUUUAACUAGAACGAAUCUGACGGUAAGGAACGAAGGCUAGGGUAGCAAACCGGAUUAGAUACCCGGGUAGUCCUAGCUGUAAACAUUGCCCAUUUGAUGUUGCUUUUCCGUUGAGGGAAGGCAGUGUCGGAGCGANNGUGUUAA